GAUGAACGCUGGCGGCGUGCCUAAUACAUGCAAGUCGAGCGAACGGACGAGAAGCUUGCUUCUCUGAUGUUAGCGGCGGACAGGUGAGUAACACGUGGAUAACCUACCUAUAAGACUGGGAUAACUUCGGGAAACCGGAGCUAAUACCGGAUAAUAUUUUGAACCGCAUGGUUCAAAAGUGAAAGACGGUCUUGCUGUCACUUAUAGAUGGAUCCGCGCUGCAUUAGCUAGUUGGUAAGGUAACGGCUUACCAAGGCAACGAUGCAUAGCCGACCUGAGAGGGUGAUCGGCUACACUGUAACUGAGACACGGUCCAGACUCCUACGGGAGGCAGCAGUAGGGAAUCUUCCGCAAAGGGCGAAAGCCUGACGGAGCAACGCCGCGUGAGUGAUGAAGGUCUUCGGAUCGUAAAACUCUGUUAUUAGGGAAGAACAUAUGUGUAAGUAACUGUGCACAUCUUGACGGUACCUAAUCAGAAAGCCACGGCUAACUACGUG
Molecule: ribosomal RNA, 497 nt
Filed under: uncultured bacterium
Lineage: Bacteria
Description: partial 16S ribosomal RNA
Rfam family: Bacterial small subunit ribosomal RNA
Source: RNAcentral